AGAAUUCGGAACUGCUGUCAGAAAUUACAUUAUAAUAAUUAUCAUCAAUAUCAUUUUCUUUAUCACUAUUAUCAUUGUGAUCAUUGUUGUCAGAAUUACAAAUACACCUCUGUUCCAUAAUUUUGCUAAAUGGAAAUUUAAAAUACAUACACUUACAGAGUCAAGCAUAUUUUUCAUGUACAAAGAGGAUUAAUGAAGAGAUGAUGGGGAAGAAAGUGUAAAUCUAUAGAAUGUAUUCAUGUUUUGAGGUAUAAUGUGAAAAUUUAGCUUUGAAAGAAAGCAAUAAAAUUUGCGUUUUGUAAUUUAUACCUAGUUCGACACCCUCUGGGCCAGGACAAGGAACAGAUGCUGUCAAUACAAAUUGCAUCACUUUCAAAUUUAACAUAUUAUCAUCACAGAAUGCUACUUUUUUCAGUCUGAACUUGUAUCCUAGGUAUAUGAAAUAUUAUCUGUUCAUAGAACUUUUUCCCAAUUUGAAUAUAAAUGUACACCAGACCUGUGAUGGAUGAUUAUAGACCUCAUUUUCCUUCUCAGAAAAAAAUAAUUAGUAUUUCUCUUUUGCAAAAAGCAGGAACCAUUCAAAAUUUUACCUAAGAUAGGCAAACUUGUGAUUUAUAAUGUAUAUGUGUUUGUGUAUAAUAUUGAAUUACAGUAGAUUAAGCAGAGUAGUGUGCAUGCAUUUUACACAGCAUUUAAUUGAUAUUCAAAAUAUUUCUUAGAUGAAUGAAUGAAUGCACUCUGAAAGCAUUAGUCUACUUCAGCAGUUUUUGUUAGCAAUUAAGAGAUUGUUCUCCCUGAAGACAUUUAUACUUAAUGUAUAUUUUAAAAAUAGUAUGACACAUUUUUUCAAAUGAAAAGUGUUGUAUGUAUGUGUACAAUUACUUUUUUUAUUAGCUUCCUAAAUAUGAUUCUGCCCAAUAUUUAAUUGCUUCAGUCUUGUAUUCAAAACAUGAAUGAAACAUUCUAAUUUGACAUCCAGGUUUUCAAAAUAACUAAUAGGAAACUUGAAGUAAAGCAACACCUCUCUAAGCUUUGAAUCAUUUUCUACCAAUACUAUUUUCUUAAAAUUAUGUAUUUUAAAAAAUUAAUGGACAGGUAAACAUGGAGCUAAAAUGUUCCCUUUGGAUUUGCAGGCAAUUAUUUCGACUUGCAUCAUGAGAAAAUAAAACACCUUCACACAUGAAAAUGAUUAAGUUUGAAACAAUUGAAAUUUAUGAAGUAUACAUUAAAAAUAAAUGUUCUCGUUCCUCAGAGAACAAAACAUUUUGUUGGUUCCUGGAGUUUCUCUUUCUAAAUUAAGGUUGCUACCAUUUAACUGUCUCAUUUAUUCACUUACAUAUGGGAUUCUUUGAGAAAUCUAAGAUUCACUGAUGUCUUAACAAAUACAGGUGGGUACAUUAUGGAUGAGCGCACAUGUUGAAAUCUAAUAUAGUUUCACUUGGAACUUAUAUUAGAUUCAUUUAGUUUUGGAUACCAAAAAAUAAAUCUUUUAAUUCAUGUCUCUUCAUUUCCCCCAUAUAUUUGCCCCUUCUAUAUAUGACUGACAUAGAAGAUGAAGCUGAAAAUUUACAAUUUCAAGAUAUUCUUAGAAGAUAUCUGGUCUACUUUUUUGAGCUGUUAACAUUUUUCUGAGAGUUAACUUUUCUUGGGAAGAAAUGAAGUGGAAAUAUGGUUGCUGCCUAAGAAGUAAUAAUAGGAGAUACAGGAAGCAGUUUGAAAUGGAAUAGAAACAACUUGUGAUAGAGGACAGAAGCCAUAUCAGAAGUCACGGAAUUAAUUAUGUGAGUCUGGGAUCAGUGAGAGAUGAAAAUUGAGAAGAAAGAAAACUGUAAGACUCUGUGACUUGAAAAAUCCAGGAGAGACAGGCAACUGAAUUGCUACAUUGUAUUUUCUCUUAAACCCAAGAAAAUUCCCUGUGUUAGAACAACUUGAAUGAAAAGAAGAAUAAACAGGUGUCCAACAAUAACAUUUCCAAGAUAGGAAGAAAGCGAGGGUUCAAAACGGAGGAACAUACCAGGAAAGCUGAAAGAAUCCACAGACCCUUUGAAGGAACUGGAUCUCCACUGCAGGCUGCCCGAAAUGCUGAAAAACUGUGUCUGCUUACUUUCUCAGUGGAGAGACUGGUGGUCUGGGGCAAUUUCUCAGCCCUGGCCACCGGCUACCUGGAAAUAGACUUGGUGCUGUUCCAGGGUAACAACGGGAAUGAGAUUGGCCUUAAAGACUGCAGGCUGUGUGGGAGUGGGAUGAGGCUGAGGGCUUUCCCACACUUCCCUGGUGACCUUAUGACUCAGCAGAGGCAGCCAUAAUCAUCCUGGGAACAUAACUCCAUUGGCCUAGAAACCACACUCCAUCCCCUAGAGCAGCUGCAGGGAUCCCCACCCAAGGGAAGUCUGAGCUCAGGCACUCCUAUCCCUGCCCCCACCUGGUGGUCUUUCUCUACCCACCCUGGUUGCCAAAGACAAAGAUCAGAAUCUCUUGGAGGCUCUGUGGCCCUACCCACCACCUGAGGCCUCUCAAUACUUAACCAGGCAAUCAUAGGGCAAGUUUGCAUCCUUCCUAUGAAAUCACAGCUGAUGUGCUCUUGAAAGUGCCACUUCCUGGCUGGAGGCCAACCAACACAAAACAAGUGCACUAAACAAAAAUACAAACCA
Molecule: long non-coding RNA, 2651 nt
Filed under: Homo sapiens (human)
Lineage: Eukaryota; Metazoa; Chordata; Mammalia; Primates; Hominidae
Description: HSALNT0362378
Source: RNAcentral